ACUCCUACGGGAGGCAGCAGUAGGGAAUCUUCCACAAUGGGCGCAAGCCUGAUGGAGCAACACCGCGUGAGUGAAGAAGGGUUUCGGUCUCGUAAAGCUCUGUUGUUAAAGAAGAACACGUAUGAGAGUAACUGUUCAUACGUUGACGGUAUUUAACCAGAAAGUCACGGCUAACUACGUGCCAGCAGCCGCGGUAAUACGUAGGUGGCAAGCGUUAUCCGGAUUUAUUGGGCGUAAAGAGAGUGCAGGCGGUUUUCUAAGUCUGAUGUGAAAGCCUUCGGCUUAACCGGAGAAGUGCAUCGGAAACUGGAUAACUUGAGUGUAGAAGAGGGUAGUGGAACUCCAUGUGUAGCGGUGGAAUGCGUAGAUAUAUGGAAGAACACCAGUGGCGAAGGCGGCUACCUGGUCUGCAACUGACGCUGAGACUCGAAAGCAUGGGUAGCGAACAGGAUUAGAUACCCUGGUAGGAUAGCG
RNAcentral lists this ribosomal RNA (474 nucleotides) under uncultured bacterium. Its description in RNAcentral is "bacterial SSU rRNA". It matches the Rfam family "Bacterial small subunit ribosomal RNA", at positions 335 to 801 of the family's 1533-position model. The record is from RNAcentral.